RNAcentral lists this long non-coding RNA (7680 nucleotides) under Gallus gallus (chicken). RNAcentral's name for it is "lncRNA (ENSGALG00010022810.1)". Lineage: Eukaryota; Metazoa; Chordata; Aves; Galliformes; Phasianidae. The record is from RNAcentral.
CUCCCCUCGCGCUCAGCCCCGCGCCGUAGCAAAGUCGCGGCGGAACGGCGUGCGCUGCUCCCUUCGGACGAGCAGUCUUUAUUUUGUAAUCCCACAUCCCGUGGGUUGUGAUAAUCCGAGAGCCCAAUCUCCUCCUCCUGUUUUGCACUUGGAGCGAUGUGCCCUGGGACACAUGGAACGAUGUGCAAAUCGCUCAUGGAAAAAGAGGGGAUGGAUGAAGUCAGGCUGUGAAGGACCGCAUCCAGCAGCAGACCUCCCCUGGCAGAGGCUCUCUUGCUCCCUUGGCUGGGACGAAGUGCUGUGGCUGCAGGCAUAUGGGGCACACUGAGACAAACCGAGCAGCUUUUUGAGAAUGUCCUGAGACCCUUGGCAAUGGAGAGAGAUUGCAGUGCAAGCACUUUUCUGGAUUACUCUGUCACCGAUGUCAAAUCAAAGCAUCAAGGAUAUAAAUCUUCAGUAAACAUCUGGCCUCACUUCAGCCAGGUUAUGCAAUGCCUCAAGUACAUUCAGCAGCAGAUUAUGCUGCGUUCUCCAUUUGUGCAAUGCAAGCUAAUGUGAAUAUCAAGUCACAUCAGUGGUCUAGACAAGUAGUUGGGAGAUAAAGACAGCAACCCAAAGCGGGAAGUUUGGCCUCUCAGGGCACGUCAAGGGAAAACUGACAUGUCACUGAAGACCCAGAAAGAAAGAAUGCCAGAGAAGAGGUAAAUCAUAGAAAAGCCUAAGCAUCACCUCUGCUCAGAUGGAAGAAGAAAAAAAGAAAAAAAAGCCAGACCCAAACCUUGCCCACCUGGGCAUCCUGCGUGGGAUGGAAUCCAGCCCUGCACUGCCCAGCAAUGGGUCUCCUCCCUGCUUUGUGCAAAGGAAGAUUAAGCAGAAGGGAUAAGAAAAGACAGGGGAAAAAAAUGCAUUUCUUUGCAGUAAACACAGCCUGCAGCCAUCGGUUUCUCUCAGCAUUGGAUGGCAAUUAUUUCUGUGUAAUAAGCAGUCACCCGAUGACCCUCCCCUUCAGCUUGCAACGCUUCUGCUGUCAAGUGUUAAUCCCUUUGUUAGCUACUCAGCUGCACAUUCAUUUAGGAGGACUAAUGACUUACACUGUUCCUUCUCUGCACGAUUUCAGCAGACGUGUAAUUAGAGGUGAAUGGCAGCUUCAGAGGUAUGGCUACCACUGGGGCCGGGGGCAAAGUCAAAGUGUUUGUCUGAUUUCACCAUGGGCUGUUUCAGUGAGUGAAACCAUGUGGGCGGCUGCAUAUGGGGGGGAAAGGAAGUAGGAAAGGAGAAGCCAAAAAAAAGGGAAAGGAUAAGAGUCAGUUGUUGGGCAUUUAGGGAGCUCGGAUGUGAAAAGGAACGUGUUUCCAAAUAUUUCUUUGUUGGGGUGUGAGACUGAGCUGAAUGCCAGCGAGGAGCCUGUUGGCACACAGACUGAGAAGGUACCGAAAGGGUGAAAAGCUUUGUUUCAAAGUGCUGGAGAUCCGUAGUCGUUAGCAGAGUGAGUGUGAGAGCCAGAAAGUGAUUAAAAAAAAGUAUUUUGAAGGUGAGCUGAGGAAGUGCUCGCGUGCCUCCGCAGUGCCUUACAGAAUACAGCCUCUAUUUUUUUUUCUAAGUGAAAGCCAUCGAGGUCUGCAACACCUUGAGAAACAUCCUGUGGCUCUUACACCAUGGGAAGAUGUCCUUUUGAAGUGCAAGUGAAUCCCUGCGUAUGUAUUAACAUCACAGGAUGCAGUAGAAAAGUAUAACAGGGAGCUGAGGUUCUGAUGGAUUUCAGCGCUGAAGAGGAACUCGAGCAGCCUCAGAGAUGACACACGUUGGGCUUCCAUCUCCCCAGCAAUGCAGCCGUGUCGCCACUGUUGCUGUGCAGCCGGCAGGGACAGGACAUGGUGUGGCUGACAGCCCUGGGGAUGAGGACAUCCAGUUCUGAGGGACUUGCGGUCUGCUGGUAAGCAAACACACUGUCUGGCAGUGCUCAGUGGUGUCCUUCUGAAAAACCUUGUGUGCAAUUACAUGGCUCACAGCUACACACAGGUAGAGCCGGGUGAACACCAUUUCUCAUCUAUGUAUUCCAAGAGCAUCAGUGGUGCCCAUCCUCACUGUAUGCCUCCAGCAUGGGAGGGAGAGGAUUAAUUAAAUGGACCUCAGAACGCUGCCUCUGCUUGCCACCCUUCGUAUGUCUGAACUGGAGCCCAUCAGUCAGCCUCUGUUGGUGCCGAUGGAACACCCGGGCAGCACUCGGGACAUCAGACAAACCUGUGGGAGGGGAAGACAGUUACAGUCUGAUUUUUGGAUGCUUGAGGUGAAGAAACAGGCUCUGCCCGUGCAGUCACAGAUGGUAAGGCUGUAGGGUUUUAAAAUACACACUAAAUCAGUAUUCUGUCCUCUCUGAGGCGAGUGUGUCAGCAGCGUGUAGGAAACGUGACUGGGAACUCUAGGAUGUCACUGCAUACUUUUAAAAGCCUUCUGGUAAGAAGUUGCCAAAAGCAUAUGGUCUCUAUUAAUAAGGAUAUUUAGCAUUUUUCUUCCUAAUUUAUUCACGGGUAAUUAUUUGCUUACCUAGCUUGAAGUGGGCUGGAAUCCAGCUCUUAUCUGUUGUGGAAAGCUGUCACACUUCGCUCUGCCUUUCUCCAGCCCUCACUUGAGAGCAGCUAUGCAUCUGGCCAAGCAAAGCUGCCCUGCUCCUUCUCUCUUAUAAUAAAUCAGAGUCUUGCCUGGCCAUUACAAACUUUAGUUUCUAAAAGCGGUGUGAAAAGUACUUUUCAAAGUACUGUGACAGUAAGAAAUAGAUUCGGCUGCUCCUCCUGUUGGCUGCCUGCUCCCUGCCAGGACAGCUGGCUCUUUCCAGGUCUGUGCCCACAUCACUGCAGUGCCAGAACAUCACCUAACCAACGCUUCAGAGACUCCGUUUUGUCCCACCUCUUCUGUUGCUGCGUUCAAAUGUUAAAGAAAAUACAAAGGAAAAAAAACACCUCCCUCAGAAGUUCUCAUCAAAGGUUUACUGGUCAGAGCCCGGGCUCUGUCUCAAAACUCUGCUGCUGUUCUUUCUAUGCGUAUCCUUCUUUCACUGCUCCCUGCAGUAAUCAGAAUCCCAAAUGCCUUCUUUCUGAUGAGGAUUAAGCCAUGACCUGCACAUGAUUGCAGGAAAUAAGCCUUUAAAAUAUGCCCAAAUGCACCGCUUGUUUGAAGUCACUGAUCCUUAAAAUAGAUGUCUGAAAAAAUGUGUAAUUUCAAAUGCUUCUGCAGAUAUUGUUCCAGUAUGUGUAACAAGGGGUCGCAUCGAGCCAACUUACAUCAGUUGUGCUCCAUUAUAUCACGAACUGAGCAAAUGGAUCCAAAUAUACAGUAAUACUUCAGCUGCUAAUGAAAGCCUUGUACAGUUCCUUUCUCUAGAUACCUCUAGCGAGAUGGUGAGAAAAUACCUGACUUCUUUCUUUUCUUUUUCAGGGACCUUAUGAGAUAUUGGUCAUGAAGUGCCAUCAUGGAAACCUCUGCAGGAAGCUCAAGCUUCAGGAAUCCUAAGGUACUAACUGUCAUUUAUAGGUCCUGUUCCUCUCGCUGGUGAAGCUCUUUUGCUAUCAUUUGAUAUAUCGAAUACAUGGAUAGUAGUAGAACAGUAUUGUUGCCUCCUCAGUCUCAAGGCAAAACAUAACUUGGUCCUACUUAAUAUUAAUUUAAUGUUAACAAAAUCAAGAUAAGUUCAGAAGUUUCACCUUGACUGAGGUUCUCAGCUCUCAUGCUUGUGUGCAUACAAACUGCUGAGAAAAACAUUUCAGGCUUUUCCACAGCGAUGAUCAAAGAAAAAUCACAAAUGCAGUGGACUUCAAAGCAAAGGGGCAAUGGCCCAGCCUUCACUCAGUCAGUGCGCACAAAAUGGAAGGGCCCAUUACCUGUAGAUGGGAGAGGAGCAGAGCUAAGCCGCAGGUAGGUUUGUAUUUGAUAUCAUCUACUGACAGUGACGGGUCACAGCAUUGCCACAGCUGAAGGCUGUUGAGGGCCACCACAGAGCCUCCCAGCAGCAGUUCAGAUGCUGCAUGCUAUUUAUUUGCGUGCAAUUGGAAUCCACCCUACUAGUGUGCAUCGCUGACAGAUAGGAGGAAAGGAUUCACUGCAAGCACUGAGCCAGCACCGACAAGCUGGGAGGUGAAAACUCAGGAGCUUCACUGAAGGCAGCUGAAGCCUCCACUGCUGCACAUUGUGGUGCCUGCAGAGUCACAGAGAAAUAAAUCUUGGUUAAAUUUUUGAUGAGCUUUCAGCUGCUGUAAAUAAUUAACUAGGGCCUCUCUCGUUUGAACACGGGUGCAACUUUUCAUGUUUCAAACGCUUCCUGCCUCAGUCCCAGGGGAUUGCUCAAGUAAUUCAGGUCAUUCUUUCUUUUAUUUAUUUGCAGCAUCACCGGUCCAAACAAAUUUUGAACUUUCAAGCUGGGAAGGGAGAAAGCAUUUUCUUCUUGAUUUUACUCCAGGUAAAUCCCCAAGGGAGCACGUGUCUCAUUUGCAGUAGUUGAAUAAUAGAGAUUGAUGGGUUAAUCAGUUCCCAUACCAUUUAUGGAGUAAUGCUGUGCGCUCAUAGAUGAAGUCUUCAUGUUUCUCAAGUCUGCUGUUUCAAAGAUGAGAGCACAGGACAGCUUCAUACAGACAGAUGCACUAAGGAGAGCAUCCCUGUGUGUCCCCCCCAGCUAAAGCACAUUGGGCUGAUCCCGCUUUUGACAGUGCGAGUACUGAAGUCAGUCCUGCAUCACCACCAGGUAAGCAGCACAAAAAAUGAGGUCUGAAGAACAACUGAUUUGUCCCUUCAUUAGGUGUCAAAAGGAGCUUGGAUAUUGUUUUAGGUGGAAACUCAUGCAUAGAUGAAGUGGGUGUAAACUGUAUUAAAUAUUGGAUUCAAACUCCAGAUUAGGGGUUUUGAUGUCCUAUCCCAAGACUUUAAUGUCUAAAUUGAACUACUAAAAUAGCUCCUUCCUCAGGACUCCAUCCUGUCCCGCUUAGUUCUAUACCCACACACAACAGGUCACCUACCACUACUGUGGUCUGAGGCUGAUUUGGAUUUACUGCAGUGUCAUACUUUCUGUUUCAAUGCCUAUUGAGUAUGAUUUAUUACAAUGACAGACCACGCUACUGUUUGCAAUGCAGGCCGAAUUCAUUCCCACUUUUUAAUACAGUUUCUCACAUCAUCUCCAGCAUUUGAGAGAAUGUAUAUUUAUUUUAAUCACCGUGUACUGAAUAUGUAAUUUUUUUCCUAGGUAAAAUUUCCCUUUAAUAGAGGCUGGGUUAUGACAGAGCAAUUAUUUGAGUUAUGUGCACAUUACAGAAUAAUUUAACAUCAGCUUUUGGGUCAAUCUUUUUUAAUUAUCUAUUUUAUCAACUGGUUUUGACUAGCAGUUUAAAUAAUUGUGUUUGCCUAAUAUCUGGAAAUCUAAUUGCUUUUAGACAUCCUUUAUUCCAAUCCUGGUGUUGUUACCGUCUUGCAUACGGUGCAUGUUGGCACCUGUCUGUGCAGUGACAGAUUUGUGGUGACAGCUUAUAUAACUUAUUUAUAAAAUGAUGAAUUAUUUUUGAAUUUAACUUCAAGUUCACAGACUGGAAAAGUGGAGAAACACCUGCUUGCUGCAGAGGAUCUGCUAAGGAAGUCCAAAGGGAAACUAUGCACAGAGGGGAAAAGCACAGGCCAAGUGAAACAGAACCAUGUGGGUCAUCGUUAUGCUGUUCCAGGUAGGACUGUGGAUACCAAAGCAGGGAUGGGGUGACGGGGCGACCAAAGGAACAAAGGAACAGGCCCACAACCACAACAUCAUAGCAGGAAUUUUACUUACCUUCAGCCUCAAGAGGACAGAGAUUGAGGGGAAUGACAAAGAGAAACAAAAGAUAGGAACUUGUUCCGGGACAAAGGGAUGUUACUAUUUAUGAACCUGCAAGAGAAUUAGAGCUGAAAUACUUAGACAGAAAAAAAAAAAAAAAAAAAGAGAUUUUAAUUAAUGGUGAUAACUCUUAGAAAAAGAACCAGAUUGCCAGCCCUGAAAACUGCCAAUUCUUUUUAUCCACAAUGUAUACACAACCUUGGGGAGGCUGCUGCUAAGAGCCCCAGCACAGGACAUUGCCCUGAGCUUAGAGAAGUCCAACAUCUCAGUGGUCACACACUUUGGCUUUUGCUGCAGCUGCACUUUACAACAUGAGUAGCUGUGCACUACAUCAAUUCCAUGAUACAAUCAGAUCCAUUGACAUGGACAAUUUGUCCCUAAUGACUUGAGUCAGCCUACAAAGGUUACCAAGAAUCACAAAUCCUACUCAGAUAAACGUAGAGUAGCACAGGUCCCAUUCAAGGACCAAACCUAAGGAAGUCAUGGUAAAUGGAUUACCAAGCCCUUCUAAUACCUAGGGACAUUCUUAUUUAAAAAUAAACUAUAAAAAUAAAGAAAAAUGACUCCUCAUUCAGAUCAAGUCAUUUUGGUUAAAUUCCUAUUAUCCUGUUUAAACAGCAUCCUUUUAUCCCAGUUUUGAGGAGCAUCAUAUCUGUGGGGGCCACAAGGCACAGAAUUUGGCAAAGCAGCAACUGCAGAAUUUCUUCCUGAGUUAGAAGAGAGGGGGAGGGAUUGUUUUUUUUAGUUGUUAAUACAUUCUGGAGCAAUGAGGUGUUAGCAGAAGCCUUUCACCAUCUCCCUCGACAUCCUGUUCCCCACCCCUCUGCAGCUGGAUGGGAACUCACCUCCCAGCAGUUCUAGGCAGACAGACUGGGGUAACAAAUCCCCUGGUAGAAAGAAAUGCAAUCUGACUGAUCCCUGAAAAUGUAAUUUCUAGUUCACGGGGGCUAACAGAUGCAGGUAGCUCAAGCUAAAGCAGAAGGGUACCACCUCACCACAGCUUUCUUACGGGAUGGAAAAGCAGUGAUCUUUACUACUAGAGACUGAUAUUGCAUAGAUUAAGUCAAAUGUAUCAACUUCGCUUUAACAUGAGUGUUUCUAUUACCUGGGUCAGAGAGUCUGUGCAGUCACUCUCCAGAACCCGCUGUUAUUAAUUCAGCAAUUAUAGCUUUAUGGUGGCAGGGAUUCCUCGGUGUUUGAGCUGGCGCUGGAAAGCUGUAAUUCUGAAUGGAACAUGACAUGAAUUACUGGAUUGCUGUAAUUCUUCAGCUUUUCAUGCAUUUUCACUGCAUAUAUUAAAAUACAGCAAGCAAUUCACUUUUAAUUAUGUAAAUUCCAAGACAGUAAGACAAGAGAUGGAUGAGUUUUUAAAUGCCUGCUCUGCCUGACCACCUGUGGCUAGCACAGAAAGCCAUGGGCUCAGCAGGUCACCCUGCCCUCCGCACUCCUCCUCUCCCGGCUGUGCACAACACCGCCUCUUUUUAGUAUUCAGCGGUACUUCGAGAGCAAAGAGCACAGGAAAGAAAUGGCCAGAGGGGGGCUGGGAAAAGUCAGAUCCUGUCCACCUGCCUCCCUCACUUCUCUGGGUUUCCAAACAGACGAUACAUCACUGUUCUGACAUCAACAUAAGACCGCAAGGGCUGCAGAUAUUUACUGCUCUCUUAUUUGGCAAUUAUCUUCUCAAUGUUGAGAUGUUAUUAACAACUUCACCAGAAUAUAUGAGUCAGGAUCAUAAUUCUACAGCUCUAUGCCUGGCUUCUUUGCUGCUCCUUAGCAAAGCUCAUGGCUGCAACCAGCAGCACGUCCAUGCACAAGUCUGUGCAGUUAUUGUAAAGGAG